RNAcentral lists this long non-coding RNA (214 nucleotides) under Solanum tuberosum (potato). RNAcentral's name for it is "long non-coding RNA (STUB_LNC001146)". The record is from RNAcentral. Lineage: Eukaryota; Viridiplantae; Streptophyta; Magnoliopsida; Solanales; Solanaceae.
GUGAUCUCGAGUGAAUUCCUCGAACUCCAUUGCCCCUCUUUCUUUUUCGUUCGAAAUGGGCCAUUGAGGCCUAAUUGCAUCUCCUCGAGUCUUAUUUAAAUCUGAGUCCUGACGGACUGAUGUGUGAAGCAAGGGAUGGCGAUCAAAUAGUUUGAAUACAGGGCUGGAAAAGAAAGGCUGAAAACAGGCUGAAAUACAUCAUGUAUACANNNNN